CCUACGUGAGGCUGCAGUGAGGAAUAUUGGUCAAUGGCCGUAAGGCUGAACCAGCCAAGUCGCGUGAGGGAUGAAGGAUCUAUGGUUUGUAAACUUCUUUUAUAGGGGAGUAAAGGUAUCGACGUGUGGAUAUUUGCAUGUACCCUAUGAAUAAGCGUCGGCUAACUCCGUGCCAGCAGCCGCGGUAAUACGGAGGAUGCGAGCGUUAUCCGGAUUUAUUGGGUUUAAAGGGUGCGUAGGCGGUGAGGUAAGUCAGCGGUGAAAUGCCCCCGCUCAACGGGGUGAAGUGCCUUUGAUACUGCCUUGCGGGAAUGCGGAUGAGGUGGGAGGAAUGUGUGGUGUAGCGGUGAAAUGCAUAGAUAUCACACAGAACACCGAUUGCGAAGGCAUCUCACGAACCCGCGAUUGACGCUGAUGCACGAAAGCGUGGGUAUCAAACAGGAUUAGAUACCCCGGUAGUC
RNAcentral lists this ribosomal RNA (461 nucleotides) under uncultured bacterium. RNAcentral describes it as "partial 16S ribosomal RNA". It matches the Rfam family "Bacterial small subunit ribosomal RNA", at positions 338 to 795 of the family's 1533-position model. The record is from RNAcentral.